This 2328-nucleotide unclassified non-coding RNA is filed under the name Hevea brasiliensis (rubber tree). The record is from RNAcentral. Lineage: Eukaryota; Viridiplantae; Streptophyta; Magnoliopsida; Malpighiales; Euphorbiaceae.
CAGCUUUCCGGGUUUAUUGAAGGUAAUUGUUUGAGAAUUUCAUACUCUUUUGGGGCUCCUUUUUAUGUGCUUAGUUUAUCGGUGAUUUGGUGUAAGUGAUUUCCUCAAAACUUUCUAUGCUGUUUAUACGAAUUCAAUUCCCAUUUCUGAUUUCUACGGGAAUUUCUGUCUCCUGCACUGGUUUUAAUAUUUCAUUGAAUGGAAUUCUUAUUUGGCAGAUGCAUUUAAGAUUCUGUCUGAGUUUGUUGCAUUAUUAUAGUAAAUUUACUGCAGAUGUUAAUGCACUUUCUCAAACUUUUAGUAAGAUCAAUGUGAUUUGUUGGAAUUGCUGAGAAUUUUUUGUGGAUUGAAAUGUGUUAUUUUGGGAAUUCAAUUUCCUAUGGAGCUUAUUUCUUAAAGAUAGAAAAAUCAUCCCCUGGUUUAUUGAGAACUAGCGUUCAUUUGAUGGAUUUUUUUUUAAAUGCUUAUGUAUUUCAGAAGAAGUCCAUGUUCUUCUGAAAUUAUUGAGUCUGGAUUGGCAUUCUGGAAUAAUACAUUACGAAUUUUAAUGUUAGCAAAUGCAGCAUCUAUAUGGUAAGAAUUACUUGUUUUCUAUUCUUAUGGGCAUUAAAUAUGAUUUUAUAUAUUAUUUUUGAUAUUCUGAUUAUAACAAUUCUAAUACCCAUUCAAGAACUUCUAGAGUGCUGUUUGAUUGGUGCUAAAUGUUGAGGCUUUUGGUUUAAGCUUUCGAGUUGUCCUGGACAUCUCCUACAACUGGUCAAUUAUUGCUAACGCUCUUCUUCUUAAUACGUUACUGUCUUACUUUGGCUGCCAACAAGGAUUAAGCUGGAGAUCGACAUUUUUUCCGUUGAUUGUUUCAAAAAGAAGGGUAAAAAGUGACGUAAGCUUAUUGUUUUUGGAAUAAAUGGUGAAUUAAUUUCGCACCUUUAUUGUCUAGGUAAGCAUGUAGUGUGAUUAUUUAGUAGAUUCUUGUGUGAAUUUUGAGUCCUUUCUCCAUAUGAAUUUUUUACUUAGUGUCUCUUGUUUGAUCUCCAAAUUAUUUAAAUUCUCCUGGGAAGUUAGACUUUCAGUCUUUUAGGAAUUUCCUUAUUGGUAAACUUGCUUACUUGGUUAAGGUCGUAUCAUGGGAAGUUAAAACUUGAAUUUUAAGACAAGCUAAAUGGCCAAAUGAUUGGCAAAUUUAACUAUUUAUUUCUUAUGGGAGCUGCAGACAGUAACACUUUUAAUUACUUCUAUGGUAGCAGGCUAAUUGAAUGUGCGCUAUGUGGCAAAGUAUUGGUUAGAAACUGUUUUGUAUUAGUUUUAGGGGAAGAGGGAGGAAGCCAACUGAUGACAGCAUUGCUAAUAAUUGAUAAUUCUUGAGUUGGAGAGUAAAUAAAAGAUUGGAAAAAGAAAGUGAAGUGAAAAUAGCAAGGGUCAUGGCAAAAUUUAUCUUGCUAGGCUGCCAUAAUAUAUUGUCUUUAGCGUUGGUUGUGGAAGUGCUGGUUUUGAGGAAUGGUAUUAUACAACCAUAUAACAGAAGCAUAAGAACAUAUGGAUACACAUAUCAAAUGAACUCCUCUUUUUGUUCUUUAUGAUGUACAGAGACGGUUUCCUCCCUGGAAAAAAUUUGCCUCAUACAGAAGCCUGUGGUAUGUAAACUGAGAAGAUAUCGGCCUACUUGUCAUCCACCAUGAGAAAAAAGCUAAUCAGCCUGAUGUUGGCUUAUCAAUCUAUUGCUUAACCAUAGAAAAUGUGGAGGAACCUACUAGUGUAUUACCGUUCUUAUUAGAAGUCAAUUUCUUUUCAUGAAAGUUGAUGGAAUCUUGGCUUGGGCUUUGGGGAUGAAAAAGAGAAUGUUUAUUGCUGACAUGGGAAACUGUGCCAAUUAUUUUAUUUUUACUAUUUGGAUGGAGUGAAAUCGAGUAAUAGACAUAUUUUCUAUAACAUUUAGUCUUUCUUAAAAUGAGAUCGUGUCUCCCUUGGAGUUGUCUGUGUAGUGAAUAGGACCAUGUAUACAGUCUCUUUUCUUGUGUGGUUCUCUUGUAUUCUUCUUUUGUUAAAGCCGGAACAAUAAGUCCAAUGAUUGAUGUUCACAUGUAUUCAUAUAGAGUGCACGUUUAAUGGAUAAUUUCGCACUUACCCUUGCUUUGUCAUUUUUUCACCUAAGUUGGAAUGAAUGUUUUCGGUUGCUUGGAUGGUUUAGGUGUUGUGUUGCCUCGUGUAUGCUAAACUUUGAUCGUAUCUGUUGCUAGAUGUAUUUUGAGAUGGUGCUAGAGUUACGGUGAAAGCUUUACUGAUUUUUUCCUUCUUUUAUUCUAUUUUUUUGUUUUUAUUUUUAUUUUUAUU